Molecule: long non-coding RNA, 249 nt
Filed under: Elaeis guineensis (African oil palm)
Lineage: Eukaryota; Viridiplantae; Streptophyta; Magnoliopsida; Arecales; Arecaceae
Description: long non-coding RNA (EGUI_LNC040623)
Source: RNAcentral
GUCAUGUUCGUGGCCUCCGAGGACUCAUCACUACCUCUGAGGACUCAUCGUCGCCUCUAGAGGCCUCAUCACUGUUCUUUGCUCCCCUUGCCUCCCUCAUCUCUCUCCUCUCUUCUUAAGCUCUCCUCUACCACCAUCAUGUCUACCAUGUACAGAGGCCUCAUCACCACUUCCAAUUCCUCUUUCGACCAUCAGCUAUCAUUUGCACUCUACCAGAGCUUCAACUCGGAGCCCCUCGAUGGCUCCAGU